This 373-nucleotide ribosomal RNA is filed under the name uncultured organism. RNAcentral describes it as "partial 16S ribosomal RNA". It matches the Rfam family "Bacterial small subunit ribosomal RNA", at positions 527 to 896 of the family's 1533-position model. The record is from RNAcentral.
GUAGGUGGCAAGCGUUGUCCGGAAUUAUUGGGCGUAAAGCGCGCGCAGGCGGUUCUUUAAGUCUGAUGUGAAAGCCCACGGCUCAACCGUGGAGGGUCAUUGGAAACUGGAGAACUUGAGUACAGAAGAGGAAAGCGGAAUUCCACGUGUAGCGGUGAAAUGCGUAGAGAUGUGGAGGAACACCAGUGGCGAAGGCGGCUUUCUGGUCUGUAACUGACGCUGAGGCGCGAAAGCGUGGGGAGCAAACAGGGAUUAGAUACCCUGGUAGUCCACGCCGUAAACGAUGAGUGCUAAGUGUAGGGGGUUUUCCGCCCCCUUAGUGCUGCAGCUAACGCAUUCAGCACUCCGCCCUGGGAGUACGGCCGCAAGGCUG